AACGCGAAGAACCUUACCAAGGCUUGACAUACACCGGAAACGGCCAGAGAUGGUCGCCCCCUUGUGGUCGGUGUACAGGUGGUGCAUGGCUGUCGUCAGCUCGUGUCGUGAGAUGUUGGGUUAAGUCCCGCAACGAGCGCAACCCUUGUUCUGUGUUGCCAGCAUGCCCUUCGGGGUGAUGGGGACUCACAGGAGACUGCCGGGGUCAACUCGGAGGAAGGUGGGGACGACGUCAAGUCAUCAUGCCCCUUAUGUCUUGGGCUGCACACGUGCUACAAUGGCCGGUACAAAGAGCUGCGAAGCCGUGAGGUGGAGCGAAUCUCAAAAAGCCGGUCUCAGUUCGGAUUGGGGUCUGCAACUCGACCCCAUGAAGUCGGAGUUGCUAGUAAUCGCAGAUCAGCAUUGCUGCGGUGAAUACGUUCCCGGGCCUUGUACACACCG
This 441-nucleotide ribosomal RNA is filed under the name uncultured bacterium. RNAcentral describes it as "bacterial SSU rRNA". It matches the Rfam family "Bacterial small subunit ribosomal RNA", at positions 958 to 1392 of the family's 1533-position model. The record is from RNAcentral.